Molecule: long non-coding RNA, 789 nt
Organism: Orcinus orca (killer whale)
Lineage: Eukaryota; Metazoa; Chordata; Mammalia; Artiodactyla; Delphinidae
Exons: 3
Source: RefSeq, a predicted model, not a curated record
CUCGAAAGGCGGAAAGGCUGGACCGGGUGGAAAGUCCCCAGGUCAUAAUAAAUAACCUAUUGAGAACAACAUCAAAAAAGGUGCCUGAGUACUUCAGGUUGACAGGAAGUCUGGAUGCCCAGUGAGGGAUAAAUAUGUGAAAGUCAGAGAAGGAAUGGCGUGAGUGAACGAUCCAGGAGAGGGAGAGGAAUACGUGGAACAUGGAAAUGCUGACAGAAAACAUGUUGAGAAAGAACUGUCUGGUAAAGCUCCACCAUCCUGACAGGUGGUUGGGAUUUGUCCCAGUUAACAAAUGAGGGCACUGAGGCUUGGAGGGACUAAGUCACGUGCCCCAGCUCACACCACACCGGCGACACCUGGGCUCCACCUACUGCAAAGCUGACCGACUGCAAAGCUCCUGUGUUUCACUGUCUGCACUACGUUACUCCCCAGCAUAGAGUGAGCGCAGCAGAUUCACGUCGCUGCUGUGCAGAGAGGUAUGCAUUUCUCCCUCCCUAAUAUCUACCAGUGCUUACUCUUCCUUGCGUGCUGUUCAUAGUGUUGAAACAGCUUGAUCCUGACAAACACCCUAUGCUGCAGCUAUCAGCCCCCUCUCUGCAGAUAAGCCCAGGCACAGAUGAGUUUGAUGAUUCUGCCCACGGUCACAGGAUUAGCAAGUAGUUGAGACAAGAGACCCAGCCAGGCAGUCUGUCUCCCGAAGCUCGUCGUGGUGGUGAAGAACCAUGGCAAUGCGAGUGGUUGAUUUUGCUUCCCCCAUGGAGAGAGAAACAAGAAAACGCUAGGAUCGGA